UAUAUUUUAGUGUAAGAAGCACAAUAAUUUUUGAUUUUAUUAGGUAUAGUUUAAUUCUAUAAAAUAUAA
RNAcentral lists this transfer RNA (69 nucleotides) under Gynaephora jiuzhiensis. RNAcentral describes it as "tRNA-Gln". Lineage: Eukaryota; Metazoa; Arthropoda; Insecta; Lepidoptera; Erebidae. The record is from RNAcentral.